Molecule: non-coding RNA, 25 nt
Filed under: Rattus norvegicus (Norway rat)
Lineage: Eukaryota; Metazoa; Chordata; Mammalia; Rodentia; Muridae
Source: RNAcentral
AGGGAAAAAAGUUUCAGGCAGGCAG